RNAcentral lists this ribosomal RNA (301 nucleotides) under uncultured bacterium. RNAcentral's name for it is "partial 16S ribosomal RNA". It matches the Rfam family "Bacterial small subunit ribosomal RNA", at positions 509 to 807 of the family's 1533-position model. The record is from RNAcentral.
CAGCAGCCACGGGAAUACGAAGGGUGCAAGCGUUACUCGGAAUUACUGGGCGUAAAGCGUGUGUAGGUGGUUGUUUAAGUCUGUCGUGAAAGCCCUGGGCUCAACCUGGGAAUUGCGAUGGAUACUGGGCGACUAGAGUGCGGUAGAGGAUAGUGGAAUUUCCGGUGUAGCAGUGAAAUUCGUAGAUAUUCGGAAGAACACCAGUGGCGAAGGCGGCUUACUGGCUCAUACUGGACGCUGAGGUGCGAAAGCGUGGGGAGCAAACAGGAUUAGAUACCCCUGUAGUCCCUGUCUCUUAUAC